This 278-nucleotide ribosomal RNA is filed under the name Escherichia coli. Its description in RNAcentral is "partial 16S ribosomal RNA". It matches the Rfam family "Bacterial small subunit ribosomal RNA", at positions 169 to 449 of the family's 1533-position model. Lineage: Bacteria; Pseudomonadati; Pseudomonadota; Gammaproteobacteria; Enterobacterales; Enterobacteriaceae. The record is from RNAcentral.
CCGCAUAACGUCGCAAGACCAAAGAGGGGGACCUUCGGGCCUCUUGCCAUCGGAUGUGCCCAGAUGGGAUUAGCUAGUAGGUGGGGUAACGGCUCACCUAGGCGACGAUCCCUAGCUGGUCUGAGAGGAUGACCAGCCACACUGGAACUGAGACACGGUCCAGACUCCUACGGGAGGCAGCAGUGGGGAAUAUUGCACAAUGGGCGCAAGCCUGAUGCAGCCAUGCCGCGUGUAUGAAGAAGGCCUUCGGGUUGUAAAGUACUUUCAGCGGGGAGGAA